CCUACGGGUGGCAGCAGUGGGGAAUUUUGGACAAUGGGCGCAAGCCUGAUCCAGCUAUUCCGCGUGUGGGAAGACGGCCUUCGGGUUGUAAACCACUUUUGUAGAGAACGAAAAGUCUGUUGAUAAUACCGAUAGAUGAUGACGGUACUCUAAGAAUAAGCACCGGCUAACUACGUGCCAGCAGCCGCGGUAAUACGUAGGGUGCGAGCGUUAAUCGGAAUUACUGGGCGUAAAGGGUGCGUAGGCGGUUUGGCAAGAUGAGUGUGAAAGCCCCGGGCUGAACCUGGGAAAGCCAUACAUGACUGCAAGACGAGAGUGCGUCAGAGGGGGGUGGAAUUCCAAGUGUAGCAGUGAAAUGCGUAGAUAUUUGGAAGAACACCGAUGGCGAAGGCAGCCCCCUGGGACGCAACUGACGCUGAGACACGAAAGCGUGGGGAGCAAACAGGAUUAGAUACCCUAGUAGUC
This 465-nucleotide ribosomal RNA is filed under the name uncultured bacterium. RNAcentral describes it as "partial 16S ribosomal RNA". It matches the Rfam family "Bacterial small subunit ribosomal RNA", at positions 338 to 795 of the family's 1533-position model. The record is from RNAcentral.